Molecule: ribosomal RNA, 253 nt
Filed under: uncultured bacterium
Lineage: Bacteria
Description: partial 16S ribosomal RNA
Rfam family: Bacterial small subunit ribosomal RNA
Source: RNAcentral
UACGGAAGGGGCAAGCGUUGUUCGGAAUCAUUGGGCGUAAAGCGCGCGUAGGUGGCCCUGUAAGUCCGUUGUGAAAGUCAAAGGCUCAACCUUUGAAAGCCGAUGGAUACUGCAGGGCUAGAGUACGGAAGAGGCGAGUGGAAUUCCUGGUGUAGCGGUGGAAUGCGCAGAUAUCAGGAGGAACACCAAUAGCGAAGGCAGCUCGCUGGGACGUUACUGACACUGAGGCGCGAAAGCGUGGGGAGCGAACAGG